Non-coding RNA from Camellia sinensis, 558 nucleotides. The record is from RefSeq and is a predicted model, not a curated record. NCBI's taxonomy places the organism in Eukaryota, Viridiplantae, Streptophyta, Magnoliopsida, Ericales, Theaceae.
GUGACUCUUCUGUUGAUGGGAGCUAUUCAUUCCCUCUAAUGUUUGAUAAAUUGUAAGAAGUGAACCAGGAAGGCUCUGAAUGGACAGAUUGUGAGAUUAGAAAUGCUAUCAACUUAAUUUAUGAAAAUCUACACAAGCUGGAUUCUUACUUGAAUGGGAGACAUCCUGGAAGAUCCAGCAAAGGAGCCAAACAAGGAUAUGUACAUGAUGACUAUUGAGCCAGAAGAUGCACCCAACCAACCUGAAGACCGAGAGGAUUGAAGGCCAUGGGAAGUAGCAUGGAGAGCAAUUCAGAAUGACGGUGAAGGAUAGAUGGAGGUUGGGUGUUUUGGUUCACUUUCUUCUUAUUUUUUGUGUUAAAAUCCUUUGGAUUUUUAUUUCUCUUCUUUUUUCUUUUUUUCCUCUGAUAUGACUGGGGGUUUGAGUGUUUUGGUUUACUUUCUUAUUUUUUGUGUUAAAUGAGGGAGUGGUGAGAGAGAGAAGAGGGUAAUGUUAUUUUGUGACUUUGUAUAUAAGGUAAUAAUUUUUUGAUUGAGAAUUGUGAAUUCAAUUUUUGGA